CGGCAUUGCGCUGGCGGCCGAAGGGGUGCUUGUGGAAGCAGGUGGAAUAGUCGGCAGCUGUGGGGAUUCGUUAUUCUCCGAGGUUGGCGGGCUCGACGCCAGGCUCGAUGGGGCUGCGGGAUUGUCAAGCAGGCGGGUGAUUGCUCAACGAUGACUGGAGACGAUCUUCGGUAUUACAACUGCUUUAUACCAAUGGGUUAUUUGCAUCUCAAGUUAAAUUAGUCACUGUUGAUCAACAAUGAGAUGUGGCCAUUGUUUGAUGGAUCAUUGAUGAUACGGAUGUGCAAUGAAACUAUGAUAUACCCACUGUAUUGGACCCGAACACCUUCCUGAAAAUUGUUCUGAAGGGGUUAGCACAAGGAAACUAUUGUUAUGACUUGCGAGGUCUGCUGGAGGUGACCGGAUCCGGAUGACUUGAGCAAAGCUGUGAAAAUUCACGGCAAGGGAUGGGGGUACAAGGCAUGGGUCUGCGGCGCCACACCUUGCUGUUGCCUGCCGGUGGCCAGCGAGCUGUGGCGGUGCUUCUCUGUUGCAUGGCGAGGGACUGGGGUGCAAGGCGUGCAUCUGCAGUGCCACUCCUGGGGCAUGCCUCUCCCGCGACAUUGCCGGCAUACACAACAUACCUUACUACACGGGGAUUUCCUCUCUGAACUAAAUAUUAUGUCAGAACUGAAUAUUACGUCCGAAGACUGAAACAUCCAGAAAGCUUAUUGAGACUAUUCAUUGAUGGUGUUUCUCUACUACACGAGGAAGUUUCAUGUGCCAAUUAGGCAUGGACGACGACGGCCAUGAUCCCAUCAUCGCAAGCUCACGGGAGGGAGACACACGUCUCAUCCAGUGCAAUAGCACGCUCCAAAAAAUCCCUAACCCUCCAUGGAGCCAUUGCCAGGGUGAUGAGAUCAACACCACCCAUGACCACCACCGAGCUGUAGACGGCGUGUCAUGGUGCUCCCUAGCUCUUCCCGCCUCUUAAGAGACCACAUGGCAUUCUGGCAGUUCUGGUGCAGUUUUUGGCCAAGGCUGGAAGCCAAGAACACUUCUUAAUUUUGAUCAUGGACGUGACAUUGUGGUCGGUGUUGUGUGGUGCAGUUCAGAGUUUUCUUGCCUGGCGUAUAACAAUGCAUGUUCAAUGGGGUAGCCUCUUCUCAGGCACGAGUAUCCGAGGCAGACCACGACAUCUAUUUAGAAUAGCUACAACAAAAUUGUGACAGAGAUGGUUAGUGGGAGAAGGAACUUGAGACCACAGUCAAUUCUGCUGUAGGGACUGUGUGUAGAAGAUAGUAGUAGCAAACAUAGAAGUCACUUUGGAAAAAAAGUGUGCAUAUAUUGUUGUACUAGAGAUCCAUUCCUAUAUUUAACUGAUAUGCAUGGUUGAAUUGUAGUAUGUGUGAUACGUGAGAAUAAUGUAAUAUGAAGCGAAAUGUGGUGGACAGGGCUUCACAUUGUUGUUUUUCAGCAGAAUAUGAUGUUCGUCUCUUUUU
Aegilops tauschii subsp. strangulata is the source of this 1481-nucleotide long non-coding RNA. RefSeq lists it as uncharacterized. Lineage: Eukaryota; Viridiplantae; Streptophyta; Magnoliopsida; Poales; Poaceae. The record is from RefSeq and is a predicted model, not a curated record.